Molecule: long non-coding RNA, 576 nt
Organism: Triticum dicoccoides
Lineage: Eukaryota; Viridiplantae; Streptophyta; Magnoliopsida; Poales; Poaceae
Exons: 4
Source: RefSeq, a predicted model, not a curated record
GCCUCUCCUCGGCCCUGUCCUCCGCCUCCAACUCCCCGCCUCCAAGCGAUGAGGACAGCCCGAGAUCCAUGGUGACGGCGGCUGCAGUGGCCCGAUGGAAGUGGCGGCCAUCCCACACCGUUGCCGCAUGCUUCUGCCACUCACGUUGGCCAUGGAUCUGCAACAGGGGCCUUCCUCCUCCGUCUCCCAGAGCCCGCACCUGAUUCUCCAUCCGGAGAUUCAGGGCAGCAAGUGCCGGACGAGGACCGUGACCUGCUGGAGGCCCGAGCGCGACCUCGUCAACGGUGACCACGCCCCACACAAGAUCAGUAGGAGCUCUCUGCCUCUCCAAUUCCAGGGACGGCGACGACCGAGGCCCCACGCUCAAACCCGACGAGCUGGAAUGGCGAGGUCAUCCGAGCCGACCAUCAUGAUUCCCCACAGAACAAUAAGAUCUUCGGAUGUUGGUGCUGAGAUUGAUGUGGCCCUAGCUACAUGUAAGCGAAGCUUAUGAUGUCGAUCCUUCAGGCUGCACUGCCAUCAUGUUACCUCACAAACUACUGGUGGUAUGAUUGCGUACUGGGCUACUUGGUGCUG